This is a long non-coding RNA of Hyla sarda, 308 nucleotides long. RefSeq lists it as uncharacterized. Lineage: Eukaryota; Metazoa; Chordata; Amphibia; Anura; Hylidae. The record is from RefSeq and is a predicted model, not a curated record. The transcript is spliced from 3 exons.
CUCUAUGUUUAAUAUGCACCCAGGGAGUGAAGUCCUUAGGACCAUAAUGAUCCAAGCAUAUUAAACUCACGCACAAGUUCAAUGCCAGAAGAGACUGUAGAUCCAAGGCACCAACAUUAAAAGUCCAGAACAUUGAUUAUCUGCUUGGGUCAUAACAGAGGUGUCCCUGAAUAUUGAGUUCAGAAAGAUGCUGGCCGCCUUUGAUGUCGGGCGCUUCAAAGAGUACUACUUGCAAGUUCUCUUUGGCUUGGGACAAUAAUGUGCAUAUCGAUGUAGGUAUAAGUGAGGCUAACAUUUACUGUGUGAAC